CACAGUGCCAUAAUCCUUUACAGCUGUGCUGCUUCACAAAUGCUGGGCAUUUCCUUGGCCUGUGCUGUUUGCCAGAGCAUGUGUAGCCCCACGUGAUAUGUUUAUACAUUUAUUUAACACAAGCUCUACAUUCUGUUUUGCCUAAGGGUUCUGCUUUGUUUUGUUUUGGUGGACAUUGUUAAAACAGAAUCAUAAAUUUCAGCAGUAUAAUAUUAUCAGUCCUUCCUUUGUAUGUCUUAGGGCACCAUUUGUGUGAUGCCAGCCUGAGUCACAAAGCUUCUGAACACUGUUCCUCAGCUAAGCACCACUUCCAGUUGGCUUCUGUGAGAAAGAAUUCAAGGAGGACACAGAUGAAUGGUUGGGCCCAAGGACUUCCAUAUUGGUGAGAAGAGUUGGUGUGGCAUGUAUUGCUUUCAUUCAUUUUCUUCCAAGAGCUGAUUUAUUUUAGCAUUUACUCUUUUUAUCUCUACUGCUUUCAGUGUAGCAGAGAAGUAGGCCCAGACUUGCUCUUGUUAAUAGCUAGCUAGCAGCUGCUGUCAUAUCUUCUUUGGUGAGUGAAGUAUCUAAACUGAGACAUAAUCCAGAAAAAUUGGUGCUUGACUCUUUGCCUGUUGAUAAAUGAGAGACAGGUUCAGAAGUUCAACAACUAUCAUCUGGCUAGGAAGAUUCUAUGUAUUGAGAGCAAUUAAGCUGUACUGAUCACUCACUUCUUUUUUGCCAUGCGUGAUUCUCAGCCAAAGAUACCGCAGACAAAUUCCUCCUGGUGCAGCUCUUGCUCAUUCUCAUGCUUUGCUGUCUAACUGCAAACUCCCAACCCUAUCUGAGAAGAGAUAUAAUUAAAUUCAAUGUAAAAUAGAAUUUUCUGAUUGUUCAAAGGCAUCCAUUAAAAUUGCAUUAAAGUUCCUGAAUUUGCAUUUCUGAUACCAGGUACAGAAUCAGCUGUCACCUGUUCACAUGAAUGGAAAGCAUAUGCUUAUGUGUUAGCUGUCAGCAAUUUUGUUCUGUCUGGUUUUAGUAUCUAAAACUGGCUCACAGUUAAAAUCUGGUCUGGCUGAGUAAAUUCAGUCAGUUGUAGUACAUCUACAAGGUAAGCUUUGCUAACAGACCAAGUUUUAAAAUCUUUGGUGGGGCAUGCAGUAGGAACCUAGCUAGAGGUCUUCCCAAAACCUGCUUUUGAAUCUUAUUAGAGAUGUAAUCAGCCCUAAAGCUAGACAAAUGAAGUUUCACACACUACAGCUUCUAGUGUUCUUAUAUGUUCACUUCUACUUGAGAUUGGCCAGCAUGUGACACAACUCUCAAAACUACUGAAUAGGCAUCCAAGUGUUGAGAUGGUCUCAGAUGAAUAUAACUAUCAAAAUGGUGCCAGCCAGAUUACUUGAAUUAUGUAGAAAUUUUUUUUCAGCUCUCUAAAUUACUCAUCAAUUUAAAAAAAAAAAAGAAAAAGUGGUUUCAAUAGCUCAGUUUAACAGAGUCAAAUCUCUGUAUUAUGGUAGGCACAUCAGCUAUGGAUUUACAUGUCAAAAUUCAGUAUGGUAAAAUUUGGCAAGCUGAAUUGUCUACUUACUCCUAACAUUCUGAUAAACACCACAAUAUAUUUCUUGUGAUGCUGAAACCCACAAAUACUAAUGAUGUUUGCAAAGAAUGCACCAGAGAAUAAGUUAUCUCUGGUGCCAGAGUUGCUCAUUGGACUGACCACUUCAGAGUGAUGAGUCUGUGUGGUUUUCUUUUGUAGAAGAGGCUGUCUUGGAAAAGAUGAAUAAAAGACUUCUGUAAAAAAAACCUUCUGAGAUA
Cyanistes caeruleus (blue tit) is the source of this 1791-nucleotide long non-coding RNA. The record is from Ensembl. Lineage: Eukaryota; Metazoa; Chordata; Aves; Passeriformes; Paridae.